RNAcentral lists this unclassified non-coding RNA (219 nucleotides) under rhizosphere metagenome. RNAcentral's name for it is "partial ribosomal RNA internal transcribed spacer region". The record is from RNAcentral.
GUAGGUGAACCUGCGGAAGGAUCAUUAAUGAGAACUUGCCCUUCGGGGUAGAUCUCCCACCCUAUGUUUACAUUACCUUUGUUGCUUUGGCAGGCCCGUCUUCGGACCACCGGCUUCGGCUGGUCAGCGCUUGCCAGAGGAUCUCAAACUCUAUAUUUUAUGUUGUCUGAGUACUAUUUUAAUAAGUUAAAACUUUCAACAACGGAUCUCUUGGUUCUG